GACGAACGCUGGCGGCGUGCUUAACACAUGCAAGUCGAACGAGAAUCUACUGAAAGAGUUUUCGGACAAUGGAUGUAGAGGAAAGUGGCGGACGGGUGAGUAACGCGUGAGGAACCUGCCUUGAAGAGGGGGACAACAGUUGGAAACGACUGCUAAUACCGCAUGACGCAUAGAGGUCGCAUGACAUAUGUUUGAAAGCUCCGGCGGAUACGGAUAGGCUCGCGGGACAUUAGCUAGUUGGAGUGGUAACGGCACACCAAGGCGACGAUGUCUAGGGGUUCUGAGAGGAAGGUCCCCCCACAUUGGAACUGAGACACGGUCCAAACUCCUACGGGAGGCAGCAGUGAGGAAUAUUGGUCAAUGGGCGAAAGCCUGAACCAGCCAUGCCGCGUGAAGGAAUAAGGCUUUCGGGUUGUAAACUUCUUUAAGGGGAGAGCAGAAGACGGUACCCCUUGAAUAAGCCACGGCUAACUACGUG
This 478-nucleotide ribosomal RNA is filed under the name uncultured bacterium. RNAcentral's name for it is "bacterial SSU rRNA". It matches the Rfam family "Bacterial small subunit ribosomal RNA", at positions 28 to 507 of the family's 1533-position model. The record is from RNAcentral.